AAAGUCUUCACCACAGCCUAGUUCAUCUGUACUGGGGGACCAUGAAGAAACUUUGGAUGGAAAGGAUGUAGUACAUAGGGACAUGUCAAACAAACCUCAGACACCAUCCAAGACAUCAAUAACCCCACAGCAUCAACUCACCUCCUGGUGGAAAAGAAAAGACACAGAGGUUGUGGUUUCUGUGAUCCCGACCCAGAACAUAGGGCAAACAAUUAUUGUUCGUCACCGUGAGCUCCGUACACUUCAACCACACCGGUGGUUAUAUGGCGAGAUAAUUGAAGGCAUGUUUCAUCUUGCUGUCAAUCAGCUGGAGAUGGGGAACUCCAUAUAUAUUCUCAAUCACUACACAGCAUGGGUGAUUCUGCAUGGGGAAAGCUCACAUCUUGUCCUGCACAGUUUGUCAAAGGUCAACUUUGACAAUUACCAGGCAAUUCUUUCAUUUGUGAACAUCUGCGACGUCCACUGGAAACUUCUG
Long non-coding RNA from Perca fluviatilis (European perch), 475 nucleotides. RefSeq lists it as uncharacterized. Lineage: Eukaryota; Metazoa; Chordata; Actinopteri; Perciformes; Percidae. The transcript is spliced from 4 exons. The record is from RefSeq and is a predicted model, not a curated record.